UACGUAGGGUGCAAGCGUUGUCCGGAAUUAUUGGGCGUAAAGAGCUCGUAGGCGGUCUGUCGCGUCUGCUGUGAAAACUCAGGGCUUAACCCUGAGCUUGCAGUGGGUACGGGCAGACUAGAGUGCGGUAGGGGAGACUGGAAUUCCUGGUGUAGCGGUGAAAUGCGCAGAUAUCAGGAGGAACACCGGUGGCGAAGGCGGGUCUCUGGGCCAAUACUGACGCUGAGGUGCGAAAGCGUGGGGAGCGAACAGG
RNAcentral lists this ribosomal RNA (253 nucleotides) under uncultured bacterium. RNAcentral describes it as "partial 16S ribosomal RNA". It matches the Rfam family "Bacterial small subunit ribosomal RNA", at positions 524 to 776 of the family's 1533-position model. The record is from RNAcentral.